GAUGAACGCUGGCGGCGUGCCUAAUACAUGCAAGUCGAGCGAACGGAUGAGAAGCUUGCUUCUCUGAUGUUAGCGGCGGACGGGUGAGUAACACGUGGAUAACCUACCUAUAAGACUGGGAUAACUUCGGGAAACCGGAGCUAAUACCGGAUAAUAUUUUGAACCGCAUGGUUCAAAAGUGAAAGACGGUCUUGCUGUCACUUAUAGAUGGAUCCGCGCUGCAUUAGCUAGUUGGUAAGGUAACGGCUUACCAAGGCAACGAUGCAUAGCCGACCUGAGAGGGUGAUCGGCCACACUGGAACUGAGACACGGUCCAGACUCCUACGGGAGGCAGCAGUAGGGAAUCUUCCGCAAUGGGCGAAAGCCUGACGGAGCAACGCCGCGUGAGUGAUGAAGGUCUUCGGAUCGUAAAACUCUGUUAUUAGGGAAGAACAUAUGUGUAAGUAUCUGUGCACAUCUUGACGGUACCUAAUCAGAAAGCCACGGCUAACUACGUG
RNAcentral lists this ribosomal RNA (497 nucleotides) under uncultured bacterium. Its description in RNAcentral is "partial 16S ribosomal RNA". It matches the Rfam family "Bacterial small subunit ribosomal RNA", at positions 28 to 507 of the family's 1533-position model. The record is from RNAcentral.